This 20123-nucleotide long non-coding RNA is filed under the name Cucumis sativus (cucumber). RNAcentral describes it as "long non-coding RNA (CSAT_LNC002550)". The record is from RNAcentral. Lineage: Eukaryota; Viridiplantae; Streptophyta; Magnoliopsida; Cucurbitales; Cucurbitaceae.
GUAAAGAAGAUGAGGUUUUUAAAGUCAAACAGUCAAAUCCGAUCAGAUGUGGAUAAUUACGAUCCCGUCCUUUAGAAUAAUUUGUUUAUUUAUUUUCCUUUCAUCUUUGGUAAAGAAAGAAAGAGAAAACUGAAGAAAGAGGAUAAUCCAAAAUUUCCAAGUAUUUAUGGUAGGUUCCGAAGUUAAGUAUAAUCAAAAAUACAAGUUUUAGCCACAAAAAUAUUGUUUUAAAUACAUUUUGAGUACCCCAUUCCCACGCCCACCACCAUUGUUUUGUUUGCAGCACAUAACUCUCUUCUUCUUCUUCUUCUCCUCCUCCUCCUCUUCUUCUUUUCCUCAAUGAUUCUUCAUUUCUUUCUUUCCCAAUCAUCCUCUUCUUUUCCCUUCUCUUUAAUUUCCCUCUUUUUGUUUCAAUAGCCUCCCAAUUUCUGUUUCACUUCAACUAUUUCACUACACCUCUCAGUAACAGGAACCAGAACUCUCCGCUCUCCCAUUUCAGCACCGCUGUUUUUUCCUUUGAUCGUCCUCGUUUUGAAGGGCUACUACUGGGAGUGAGUUUUUUUAAGACUUUUCUUUUCUGGGUGUUUGAGUUUCGUUGCUUUGAGCUUGAUUUUGAGGAGUUUGUGUUUGUUUGUUUUUUUUUUUUUUUGGUGUUUGUCUUCAUCUUGCUUGUUUCUUAUCUAUCACUCUCUCUGUUUUCAGUUGGAACCUAUCUUGAAUUUCCUAAUUUGUUUGAUUACAUGCAAAUUUGAGUGAUUUGGUUCUCAAAGUUUCGAUUUUUGUUUUUGUUUUCAUCUGGGGUUUGAUUUUUCUGAAACGUAAUAUAAUGUCUGGGGAGGAUCGUUUGACUUCGCUUGUUCAAUCCUGUUUUUCAUUUUCCCCAUUGUGGAGUGGUUUUCACCCUCUUUUUUUAGGGGCUGAUCGGACAUGUUAUAAGUCAACUUCGUUUUGUUUUGGUCGUAUGAGUUACGCCUCCACAAAAGUAGAAAGAAGAGCAAUAUUUUAUGUUUUGUAACAUGCUUUUGUCUUUUUAUAUUUCGUCUCAUGUCUCCCCUUGCGGUUUGAACCUGAGUUACAUUGUAUAGUGCUUUUAAAAUCCAGGUUACAUUUCCUUUUAGUUGAUGACGCUUUGAUCUAGCCACGAUUGGUCUCGCAUGUCUGAAAAUCUGUGUAUUGAGAAUAUACUAAAUUACUAAAUAUACUCUACUUUUAAGUUUAGCAAUGAGUUUUUGAUGCCAAGUAUUGUGUUUGAAUCUUUGCUACGGCAUUUUUUCUGUUGUUGAUGUUAAUAGUUCACCUGUUGAGUUUUCGUGAAUCAAAUUAGUAAUUAAGCCUACAUGUGACGAUUUGGUCUUGCUGUUAUUUAACAUUCUUGUACUAAAAUCCUAAGUGUAUGUGCACCAGGAAGUCUAGUAUACUUCUCAAUGUCCCUCGUCUCUGUCUGCUUGUGAACUUUUAAGAUGGAUAGAAGGACCUAUUUAUUUAGGUGUCAAUUAAGUUCGACUGUGGAUUACAGAACUUUCCCUGCAUUGUGUAUUUCCUCAGUCAUGACAGUUGACUGUGGAUAGUUUUCUUUUCUUCUUGACAGAAAAAUUUUCUGGGACAUUCUUUUUCUUUACAAGAAAAUAGUACAAAAUAUUAUUUUUAUCUCAUAUCUAGUAGAGAAGAGCAGAAAGUGAUGCAGAAUCAGCCUUCACAUAGUUCAUUUUCAGGUUCCUUUUGAAACCACAGCCACCAUUUCUGUAAAAUAAUGGUUAAAGUAAAGGAACGAAGUAAUAAUUUCCUUAUCCUGUGUGGCAGGUCAUUAUAAUAGUCCAGUCAUGACUAAACCCAAAGAAAUGGAAAAUGUAUGGAGUAAUUUCCACAAAUCUGAUGCUCUCCAUGCGUCAAGUGUUACUACACUAUUCUCAAGCUCGUUGCCUGUUCUUCCACAUGAGAAACGUAAGUUUUUCAAUGCCAACUGUCUAAUAUUCUUCGUCCCUUGUAGUGUUAACUGAGAUCCUUUCAUUCUUAAUUGUGACACACAGUGAACGCGGUUGACAAUGGAGUUGCUAUUCAAUCAGUAGAUGAUAUCGCGUCUCACUUUAAGAACAUCAACCCGGGUCCAGAGGGGGAUGAUCCGAUUGAAGACAUUGAAACUCAUGCAAUUGGCAGCUUGCUUCCUGAUGAUGAGGAGGAGCUUCUAGCUGGUAUAAUGGAUGAUUUAGAUCUGAAUGGCUUGCCUAGCUCUCUUGAAGAUCUGGAAGAAUAUGAUCUUUUCAGUAGUGGAGGUGGAAUGGAGUUGGAAACAGAUGCUCAACAAAAUGCUAGCAUUGGUUCCUCAAGGAUAGGCUUAGGCGAUGGUGUAGUUGGAAGUGUGGUACCUCCUUAUACCUUUUCAAAUGGUGUUGGAACGGUUGCUGGAGAACAUCCUUAUGGAGAGCAUCCUUCUAGAACGUUGUUCGUGCGUAACAUUAAUAGUAAUGUUGAAGAUUCAGAACUGAGAGCUCUCUUUGAGGUGAUGCAUUUCGUGUAAUAUUAUUCAAAAUCCUGUGUCAAUUUAUCAAUUUUAUUUGUGACACAACCUGAUCAGCAAAUUCAUACUUGAAUGUUUCUUAAAAUGCCACAAUCUAGAGAUUUAUUUGUGUAUGCAAGGUCUACUUGGUGAUUUCUUGAUUGACUACUUGAAUUAUGUCGUACAACUAACACUGAUAGUUAAAGAAGCCUAUUCUAUUGGUACGCCUGCCUUUUAAACUAACAGGAGAGCAGAUGAAGAAGAGUUGAUUAAAACUUAUGUAGUAUAAAUAAAAAUCCUAAUAUUAUACUUGCCUAUAGGUUUCGGAAUUAGGAUUGGAGUGAGGAUUAUCGCUGUUCAGUGAAUGAUAGAAAUAAAAGUAAGGGAACAUUGUCAUUCCCAUUAUGAAAAUAAGGGUCUCAUACAGUUUUUUCCUCGUUCUUUUAAUACACGUCACAUGGAAGCAAUCUGAUUUGUUGAGUUUUUUAUAUUGCCAAUGUUGUUGUUGUGCUUCUCCUUCUCUUUCCUAUUUAUCCCAUCUUUUUUGUUUCCUUUUUCCUUCUGGCUUGCAGCAAUAUGGCGAUAUUAGGACUUUGUAUACUGCUUGUAAACAUAGGGGCUUUGUGAUGAUAUCUUAUUAUGACAUCCGUGCUGCUCGAACUGCUAUGCGCUCAUUACAAAACAAACCACUGCGGCGGAGAAAACUUGACAUUCACUUCUCAAUUCCCAAGGUGUUGAACACAUAUUUAACCGUUGAUUGCUUACUCAACUUUUGUUUGGUUUCUUAGUAUUGAAUUCGUUUCUUUGGUUUCUUAUUCUGUACAACAGAAUAAUCCAUCUGAGAAAGAUAUAAACCAAGGAACCUUGGUAGCCUUUAAUUUGGAUCCUUCAAUUCCCAAUGAAGAUCUUCUUCAAAUUUUUGGGGUCUAUGGUGAGGUCAAAGAGGUGAUUGUUUGACCAACCCUUCUUGUAUAUCUAUUGUCAAUUUAUUCCAGGUUCUCUCGAUUUAUGAUUAUUGACAUUCGACUAUAUGGUACUCAUUUAAAAAACAGAUAAGGGAAACUCCGCACAAGAGACACCAUAAGUUUAUUGAAUAUUAUGAUGUUAGAGCUGCGGAAGCAGCACUGAAGGCAUUAAAUAGAAGCGACAUUGUUGGUAAACGCAUAAAACUAGAACCAAGUCGCCCUGGAGGAGCUCGUCGAAAGUGUGUAUUUGAGACCAUUAAUUUCUAUGUUUUCUUCCUCUUUUGUUAUGUUAUCUUUCCAUUAAGUUACACUAUAUUAACAUUGCCUUUUAAAUGAAUUCAUGUCUUGGCGUCUAGUGUAUUGUACAAGUACAUCUUUUUUUUUUUUGGGGGGGGGGAGGGGGUGCGAUAUUGGUUGCUUCAAUACGACGAAGGCAUUGAAUCUCACCGAUCAACUUAGCUGACACUGUGUGUAUACUGUUUCUCCAAAUAUUAUCAAUCCACGUUGGCUGUAUCCAAUCAGCUUGAUGGGAAUUGUUAAAUUUAGAUGGCGUGGAUGGUACCCAACAGUUAUUAACCAAUCUAUCAUAUUCGUUCUUUGCCUUUUGUGUUUUAAUAUUUGCGUUUUGUGUUUUAAUAUUUUUUGUUUGAAAUUGGCUAAACUUUCUUAUGCGCUUGGGGACGGUGGAAACUAUGAGCUGUUGGUGUCAUUCUUAAGUAGUGUGAUGUGUUUCUUGGAAUCAUGUUCUCUAUUUUAGAGAUUGUGUCUAAUUCAUACUUGAUAUCAAUAUUUUAUUUUACUUUAUUCUUAUUUGAUUCAUUAUUCCGUGUCAUCUUAAUCCCCCCAGCUUAAUGUUGCAACUCAAUCAAGAACUUGAACAAGAUGAUUUGUGGAGUUUCCGCGCUCAAGUUGGUUCACCAAUUGUCAAUUCUCCGCCAGGUAGGGUACUUUCAAACGCUUCUGUCAUCAUUUUUACUCAUUUUACCAUAAUAUAUAUGUUCUUUUUUUUUUAAAAAAAUCAUUUCCACUAUCUUUGUAUAUGUGACAGGUAAAUGGAUGUCGUUUAACGGUUCAAUUAAACCUAGUUCCUUGGGAAGUAUCAGUAAAUUUCCUAGUUUUACACCCAUAAGCCCAACGGGUGGCAACCAUUUGCCUGGAUUGGCUUCAGUUCUUCCUAAAGCAACAAGAAGUACUAUGAAGGUUCCUCCUAUUGGCAAGGACCAAGGAAGGGGUAACAAUAUGGAGCAUCCAUAUUCCAUCACAAAUCCAUUCAAUACCUUUCAACCAUCCCUUUCAUUUCCGGAGCCAAAAUCAAGACGGUAUAAUGAGACUAUGGCCUCCUUCAGACCUCCAGCGUCAAGUGGGUCAAGUUUGGAAACGUUAUCCGGUCCACAAUCUUUAUGGGGAAGUCAGAAUUCAUACUCAGAGUCCUCUAGUUCUUCUGCUUGGUCGAGAUCGUAUGCAAACCAUCACUUCUUAUCUAAUGGAAAUGGUCUGACACUUCCAUUUCCCAGCCGGCAAACUUCUUUCUUCAGCUCAACUCCAAAUGGCCACUCGCAUCAUGUUGGAUCUGCUCCAUCAGGCAUACCAUCGGAGAGGCACUUUGGGUAUUUCUCCGAGUCACCAGAUACCUCAUUAAUGGGUCCUGGGGCAUUCAGAGGUUUAGGUUCUAGUCCGCAUGCUUCUGUCAAUAGCGCCAGCACCAUUCCAAGAAACAUGUCUGAAAUUCACCCUUCAAGUUUUCAAAUGAUGUCUUCAUCCAUGCUGAACCCGAUGAUAUCAGGUAGUGUUCCAUACCUGGGACUGCUACCAAACAGCCUGGAUGGUUUGAAUGAGCGUGGCAGAAGCCGAUGGAUCGAGAAUAAUGGGAAUCAGCUUGACAGUAGAAAGCAGUUUCUGCUUGACUUAGAUAAAAUUAAGGCUGGGGAAGACACUCGAACAACCUUGAUGAUAAAAAACAUUCCGAAUAAGUAAGAUACAAAAGAUACAGCUAGUUUCACGCUGCCUUUGUUUUUUUUGUUUUUCCCUUCUUUCCUUUUUACUAGUCAUAAGUAUGUUCAAAUGGUUCCCUUCCCACAGGUACACGUCAAAAAUGUUAUUAGCUGCCAUUGAUGAAAAUCACAGGGGUACUUAUGAUUUUCUCUAUUUGCCAAUUGAUUUUAAGGUAACUUUAGACUAUCCUUUGAGUUGGUAUUGAACUAAAACCAAAACUUGUCCCUUUUUUUAGCUACUUUACUCCACACAAAUCCAACUCGCUGUCUGAAUUGUGCAGAAUAAAUGCAACGUGGGCUAUGCUUUCAUUAAUAUGCUGUCUCCUCAACAUAUAAUAUCCUUUUAUGAGGUUAUUAUUAUUGUUUAUACUACUUGACGAGAUAUUUUAGAAUGUUUCUACAUUGAUGUUAGUUAACUUGGGUCUGCAGUCUACUAAGUAUUUGAGUUCUUCUGCACAGGCUUUUGAUGGAAAGAGAUGGGAGAAGUUCAAUAGUGAGAAAGUUGCUUCAUUGGCAUAUGCUCGAAUCCAAGGAAAGGUGGCUCUCGUGAGUCAUUUUCAGAACUCUAGUUUAAUGAAUGAAGAUAAGCGCUGCCGUCCCAUUCUUUUUCACUCAGAGGGCCCAGAAGCUGGAAAUCAGGUCCAAAAGUUAAAAUAUAUCUUAUUCAGCAAUGCUCAAUUUUAUCUUGGUUAUUUGUGAACAUGAUAGAACAUUUAGUGCAGAUAAACUCACUCUUCAUCCUUCAAGUUCUGGUGAUAGUUUUUAAGCAUGGUUGGAACAUAUUAUAUUGAUCUGUGUUGGUUUUCUUAUUACCAUUAUCAUUUCAUUUUGCAGAUUCUCCAUGAUCAUCUGCCUCCUGUCAAUUUGGGGGUCAAUAUCUGGGCAAUGAACGGGUCACUUUCUAGUGAUUCUUCGGGAAGUCCCCCGAAUUAUGGCACUAGUGAGAGGCCUGAUAAAUGCUAAACGCAAUGUCGCCCUCAGCCUUGGUCUUUCACGACUGAAUGUUAACUCAAGUAAAUACUGAAGUACAUAUGUCAGGAACAAGUGGAUUAGGAAGAACAAACAUAUGCAGAUUUUGUUUUUAAUGUGGUUUCUGCAGUGUUUUGGUAGGAAGAUGGUAUGGAAAUGGAGUAGGUGGAAUCGUGUUGGUUGCUGUACUCAUCAAUUGCAACCCGAACAGUCUUCGGUCUCAGCUGACCGUUGUGUUUAUGCACUGAAUUGUUUCAUGAUUUCUCCUUCAUUUUUGAAGCUUCUUUUUUUGCCUUCCCCCUGAAAUGUUGGGUUGAGAAAUGGCGAACACAAUGUAUAUACCACAGGCUAUUGUGUUUUUUUUUUGGUUGGGAAGCUUUGAGAGGAGAAACCACACAAUUGUAUAGUGGCUGGAUCAGGAUGGAACCUUUUACAAUUUCCUUGUGUUGAAAAAACUUGUUUCAGCUUUUAAAAUACAAGUUCAAUUGCUUGUGUUUUAUGACAUUUGGCUAAUGCAUUUUCCAAAAUGGAGAAACUUCAUGUCUUCAAGUUGGAGAUUCAAAUUUUCUAUACCUCAAAAAAAUUCAUUGACCAAUGUAUUUCGUUUCUUUAUUAUAAAGGCAGAAAAUGCUUUGGGUAGCUUGUCUUGUUAUGUUCUACCACCCAAACAAAAACAAAAGUAUGUAUUUCACUUUAUUAAUGGAAUUCACUUCUGAAAAGUAAGAUUAUAUUUUAUUAAUAGGGAAGAUGAGUAUUACUUUACUAUUAACUAAUCUAAAACGGAAACAAAAAUUCAAUUUUCAACUUCGAAACAUUAAAUUUGUCCCAAAUUUUACGAUUUUUCCAUUAAAAAACUCUCAUAGAAUAUUAUCGUCGAGCUAAGGAAUUUUUUUUCUUUCAAAUGCCUCUAGCCACUUUAAAAUUAAAAAAAAAAAAAAAAAAGGUUCAAACUAUGUCACUUGCAUGCCAAUUUGGCAAAUAAAUCCUCCAAUUUAGUUCAAAUCACAUCAAUUUGAGUUUCAGUAUAUUAAUUUUUUAGAAUUUUAAAUUCGAUAUUUCUAUGCAUGCAAUACUAGUUAUGAAUAAUACAAUUUAGGAGUAGAUUUCUUAAAUCAAAAGAUAUCAAUUCAUAACAUAGUGUCAACAAUAGCAAUAAAAGAAAAAGCUAAAUAGUUAUCAUGAAUCGAAUUGGUAGACAACACGUGGUUUCAGGAGGGGAAUGGUAAGGUUGAUAUGAGAACUUACAGAAGUCCAACUCGGAUUUUCUUUUCCAGAGAGAGAGAAGAAAAACCCAAAUGUAUUUUGAUAUUUAUCCUCUUCCCAUGGGUUUUCCAAACCGAAAACAGCGACCAAUGAGAGAGCGCGUGAGAGAAUUUGGAAGAAUAAAUAAUAAAUUUUGUUUUAAGAUGAUGUAAAUAAUAAUUUAUAAUUAAAAGAAAAAGAAAAGGAUAUAUAUAUAUAUAUAUAUAUAUUAUUUAUUUAUUUAAUAAUAUAAAUGAAAGAAGAGAGUAUCGUAUGGAGUCGAGAGGAAGCGUAGACAAUGAUCAAGCUCCUAGCUCCUUUACCGCGAAGUUGCACGUGUCAAAGAGCUGUGCUUAGCUGGUUCCAUUAUCCACGUGGCUUCAUUCUAUCGGUCCAACCAUUUUACAAUUACCCCCAUCAAAGCCGUCUAUAAGUCCCCAAACUCUACGUUUUUUCUCUCUCUCACCAUUCCUCCAAUAUAACUUUUUAGGGAGGGAGAGAGAGAGAGAGAGAGACGGAGGAGGAAGGAGGAGAGGAAGAAGAAGACGGACUCUGUUGCUUCUUCAGGUAUUUUGAUUUUCUUCUUCUUCUCUCUCUCUCUCUCUCUUUCUAUCUUUUACUUCAUCUCCGGUUUCUCUUCUCUCUGCUUCACUUCAAUUUCAUAAUUAUGUCUGGUCAAUCAACACUCUGUUUCUCUCUCUUUCGGUUCUUGUUGAAUGAUUGUUAUGCCUUGCCUUCAACUUAUCUGGACAUUUCUAGGGUUUUAACUUCACAGAGUUUAGUUUCCAGUUUUCUUUUUCUAGUUCUUUACUCUCUUCCACCAAAACUUGCUUUGGUUGACUUUAAUUGCUGUGAGGUUCACUUCAUGACUUCCAAAUUCUUAUCUCCUCUUGAUUUCCGUUUUCAAUUUUUCCGAUACUGUGUCCGGAAUUUGUGCGGGGUUUCGCUAUUCGAGCUUGAAAGAUUUUGAAUAAUUCAACAUGUUUUUUUUUUUUACUGCUGUUACUGUUUUACUUCUCUACGCGGGAGUAAGUUAGUUCUUCGAUAUGAAUGUUAAUUGUUAAUAUUGUUUCUGAAUUUUCUUGUAGUUUAAUUUGAAUUUCUUGUUUCCUAUAUGUUUAGAUUUCAUUCACGCGUUAAUUGUUUAUUUAUUGCUUAAUUGAUUGUUAAAUUUUUUGGUAUUUCAUUCUUGCAUAAAUUCUGUACUAAGAAAAGGGUUUUUUUUUAACACCUUAAGGUUUUGGAUUUUUCUUGUGAAGAAUCAUGAUCGUCACUUUCUCACGAUGCUUUCGUGCCAUGCUGCAGCAAGUUUUUGGAUUGUUGACAUUCUUGUAAUUAAAUGUUUACUUGUUGCUACCCCUUUGAUGUUUCUGAUUGCUUUGGGUUGAAUGUGAAAUGGCCUUGAGCUGUGAUGUACUUACAAUUUUAUUUCCCUUUCGGAGUGUUACAUAUAGACUUUUUUAUUGGGGAGCACAUACAAAUUUCAGAUGGUUGCUCCGUCUAUUAAUAUGUUAGAUUUUUAUCUUUGGAUACUUACGUCUCGACUUUUGUGCUCUACAGUUGUGUUUUCCACUGAUGUCCUUAGAUCAACAUAGUGGUACAUAUCAUCAAAAGUACAGGACAAAUGCCAUCAAUAAAAAUGAAGGCCAAGUUAAGCCCGAGCUGUUUAAGAGAAAAACAUUGUCUGCGUGUUUGUCAGAAAUCUAGUGUCAUCUCUAAGAAAGAUUGUACCCACCUGAGGGGUUCUGAAGAGUCAGAUGAAUUUGAUGGCUGUAUUAGAAAAUGUCUGGAGGGUUAGUAACUUCUAGCUUCUUGCUUUGUUAGUAACUUCUAGCUUCUUGCUUUGUUAGUAACUUAAAUGUUAUCUUAUUUUUUUAUUUCACAAUAUAUUGCUGAUUACGUUCAUAGUUUGUGGAAUGCGUCAAAAAGAAACGGUGUAAUUCACCAGAAUUUUAAACAAAUACAUCGGCAUAAUCUUAAUUUCCCAUCAUAACUCUGAGUGAAGAAUCACAUAUAUUGAGAACUAUAGCUUAAUUUCCCAUCAUAACUCUGAGUGAAGAAUCACAUAUAUUGAGAACUAUAGCUUCUUAGGAAGGAAAAGUACUGCUGUGGUUUUUCCUAUAUUUUGAUACCAUUUAUGCAAAAAAAGAAAUAUGAUGUUAUUUUUCUCUCUAUUGAAUUAUUCUGAACUAUUUUUUUUUCAAGAGAAUAGUAAAAGUUUAUUUUAGAUCUUGGAGCUGUUCAAUAGUUUUUUUCUUUCAAGUUACCCUCUUGCUUCACUUUCUCCUCCCCCUCCCAAUUUUAUAGAAGGAACAACAAUAUUAUUGAGCGAAGAAUAAAAAGAAAAUUUCUCAGAAAAUCCAACUACUUAUCAUCCAUUGCCAAACAAUAUUAUUUGCAUUGCUAUAUUUUUUUUUUUGGUGGGGGGCGUACUGAUACUUGUUUCUUGUGCAGCUUCUCUAAACACAGAAUCUAUUAAUAGCAAUAUAAAUCAGAAAGCCAUUAAUCACCAUGAAGCUGUUGACGAAGAAACUUCUGAAUUGAAGAGGCACGGAGAAACUUUUGAGUUGAAGAGGGAAGAACCUUUUUCAGUAAAUGCUGCAGAUAUGAAUGGAAUGGUAUGAAGUGGUCUUUUUUAAAGGAUCGACUGAAAAUACAUAUUUUGAUACUUCUCUAGAUUGUGAGCUCACCCUUCAUGUGAGCAUUGUUAGUUUCUAGAUUAAUAUGCAAAAACAAUUUGUGUAGUGCAGUUGUAUAAUAUUGGAGUGAGGGCUUUGAUCCUAUACUUUGGGUAGGGAAAAUGUGGAAUCCCUGCCUAGUAUCAUACAUUGACUUUACCACUCAUCUUGUUUGUUGCGUCAUUUAUUAGGUGCAGUUUCAAGGUUUUAUUUUUAGUAUAUCAUUGUGUAGCACCAUUCUUAGUCUUUCUUUUCUUUCAAAGACUAUCUUCAUCAUUUUAUUAUUAUUAUUAUGACAUUUUUUUUAAAAUUUUACAGGACUGCACCUCAACCAACUCUUCUGAAAUAGAAGCCAUUUUUUCUCCUAUUUUGAAUAAUGUUGACAUCCAAUGCCAUCCUAUUAUCGAACAUGAUCCAGGUACUGCCUAAGAUUUAUGGACAUUAACCUGAGAUGGUUACUUGCUAAUUUUUUUAUCACAUGUUAAUUUUUAAGAAUGUAGGAGAUAGGAGCCACAUGUAAACAUUUGUUAAAAAUAUAUUCAACAUAUCAAGCAUUCAAUCACGUGCUCAACAAAUCUCAGACUUGUUUUAGUUGUUUGACUAGCUUUUAACAUGUACCUACUGCAAUGAAUAAAUCUCUGACAUGCAAGUAUUAGAAUCUUCGAUUCAAGUCAAGACACAUCCCAAACCAAAGUGCCCUUGCCUACUAACAUCGUCAGGUCAUCUCUUGGUCAAAGGUUAUGUUCUACAAUUUUGUGUUAGGUCUACAGAGAACUCUAUCCUUCUGUCUUCAGACACAUCAUACAUGUUUCCUCCUUCAUGUGUUUUACUAGCCAUUCUUAUUUGUUGUCCCUUCCCUUGAGUUCCUGUCCAAUCCAAACUUAUGUAGGAUCCAACAAAUUAUUUUCUCGUGGUUAUCAGAAAGCUUUUAAUAUCUAAGUGGGCUAUGUAUUUGUGGAGUUGAAAGUUGGUUUGAAAUUUGAAGAAAAAUUCUCCCAACCAUCCUGCUGUUCUUGUGACCUCGAAGUUCAUGUUUUCAUUUAUUUGAUGAGUGUUGUCUUUGACAUAUUUCUUAUCUGUCUGUCUGGCUUAUGUUAUGUAGGGAGCAAACUUGAUAGAGAUAUACCAGGAAUGGAAAUUGAUGAAGGGAAAAAUAGCAGAAGCUCACAUGACAGUCAAACCUGUGACAUAUCAGAUUUUUUUAUUUCUGACAUGAUAGUUGCAAAUUUACCUUUAUGUGAAAAUGAUGACAUUUGCGACAUCAAUUAUUUUCAUGACUACAAAUAUACUCAAUCGAGUGUAUUGUCUGAUGUUGCUGAUCAGUAUAUGAUACUGCCUUUCCUUGAGGACACCAUGAAAUUCAGCAAUUCAGAUGAUGCUAAAUGUUCUGAUGAAUCAGCCAUUGGUUCUGGUAAUUCUAGCUUGUAUAGAGUUAUUGAUCAAAGGAAUAAUUUGAGCCUUGAAUUCAGUGUUAGCUCAGAGUCAGAUCAGACAGAGUGUUUUGAUCCCCAGUUGUUCAUAAAAAAUUUACCAGAACUUUCAGAAGUGAUUUCGAACUUUCAGCCCAGCAUAUUGCCCAAUGAAGAUCGGAAACGAAAGGCUGUGACUCUUGUACUUGAUUUGGAUGGUAAGUGUUUUUUAUUUUAUAUUUUUCUUUUUGAGGAUUUGAAAUGUUACCACACUUUAACAGGAACAAGUCUUGAGGAUUAGGUUAUGGAACUUAUGCCUGUACUGCAUUCUGAGAAUUAUGGUAGGAAUCUUUCAAAAUCUCAUGAUUGUAAUCACCAAUGCAGGAAUUUGGUACUCUUGUUCUCUCUAUCUCCCCUGAGUUUUCUUACCCUUUUUCCCGCCCCUAUUUUGUGCAUGCAACCCACGGAUCCUUUCCUCCCACUGAGUACCUCAACCAUCUAACAGGCUCUUUAUGACUCUACCAGUAGUUGACAACUAAUUAACUACUAUCUCAACUUCCUAUUAUUUUAGGCCUUGCAUGAGUAAAUUGUAUAGGUGGAUGACUUUGUUAAUCAGAUUAUUAACAGGCAUUUAACAUAUCUAAAUCUAUAUGUAAGAUGCAGAACUUAAGUUUAAUUUCUAGUGAAGCCAUUUAAAUAGUUUGUUUGAGUUUUGCUUAGAUUUCAAAUAUGUUUUUAUGGUGAUUAGUUUACUUUUAAAUCUUUAUUUAUCGUCUAUCUGGAGUGUAAUGUAAACGUUUUGUAUAUUUGCAGAAACAUUAGUUCACUCUACUUUGGAACCGCAGGAUGAUGCAGACUUCCGCUUUACUGUCUGCUUGAACAUGAAAGAGCACAUUGUAUAUGUUAAACGGAGGCCAUAUCUUCAAAUAUUUCUGGACCGUGUUGCAGAGAUGUUUGAAGUUGCUAUCUUUACAGCCAGUCAAAGUAUUUACGCAGAACAAGUCCUCAACAAACUGGACCCGGACAAUUGUAUUAUCUCACGGCGACUUUAUCGUGAAUCAUGCAUCUUUUCAGAUGGAUGUUACACCAAGGAUUUGACAGUUUUAGGCAUUGAUUUAGCAAAAGUUGUCAUUGUAGAUAAUUAUCCACAGGUACAGCCCUUAGCCUAGUGUUUUGUGAACUUCCAUGUGGUUGGACUCUGCAACUCCUUUCUCUUUCCUCAUACUUUUUUUAAUAACUUAAAGUGGAUACACUAUGAGGUUGAUAACUGAUUUAUAAGCUGAAGUUAAUGUGAGUUUCAAAUGGUUGAAUGGAGAGAUUGGUAGGUUGAACAACAACUAUUUAUGUUUUAUUGUUGAAGAUUCUUAUUAUUUCUUUUGAGGUCAAUAACAUGUGGGGUGAAGAUUCCAACCAAUCUUUCGGUCAAGGAUUUUUAACAAGUUGAGCUAUGUUCAAGUUGGUUUGAGUUUACAAAUGUUGAAGUAGGACAUUGAAGACAAAAAAAAAAAAAGAAAAAAAAGAGGAACUGUGUCCUUGAGUUCUAAAGCAUGUCUUUGUUAAUUUCAGGUUUUUCGAUUACAAGUGAACAACGGUAUUCCUAUUAAGAGUUGGAUUGAUGACCCCUUGGAUUCUGCUUUAAUUUCAUUGCUUCCAUUUCUGGAGACCCUGGUUGAUGUUGAUGACGUGCGCCCUAUUAUUGCCCAGAGAUUCGGUAACAAGGAAUAAGAGCCCUUCAUAUUUCUUAUUCUGUUGUUCUUGAGUAUGGUGGCUCCUUGUCCUCUCUCUUUUUCACUGCAAAAUUAGCUUCUGAUCUUUAGAUGCUUAUCUCUCUCUCACCAUUGAGCUCAAAUUAACUAUUGAAUAAACUUGUUUGUCUUUCUUUGUUGAGUCAGACCUAGGUGCUUGUUUACUUUCUUUUUUCUUUCCUCUUGCUGACUAAAGUGUGCUUUGUCUCAUUUUUUGGGUGAAGUUAGGUCUAGGGAAUGUCUCUUUAAUUUUAUUGUACAGUUCAUGUGCGUAGUCAUAUAUGAGAAAGAAUGUAUAUGAAUUUUAAUAUUGUGCAAAAUAAUUCUUGCAGGCUGUUGCUUUCUCUCUUCUCUGCUUUUCUCAGUGUUAUCUAAUUUUAUCUGGUAUUUUGGAAUGCUUUCUUUUAAUUAUCGGAUUUAAAUCUUUGUCCAUUUCAUUAAUUAGAAUAUGGAACCUCAGACUUGGAUCUUCUCUUUCUUCCAUCUGAUACUACAUAAGGUAACUGUGUCAUUAAUUUUGAAAAUUUUACCACGUCAUUUAUACUUGAUGUAGAGUCAGUUCCUGAAAUAAGGAUUCUAUUAGUAUUUAAGCUGUGUAGAAAAACUGAAAACAACAAAUUCUGAAGUGAGCUGCGUAAAAAGUUAGGAUUUGUCAUAUUUCAAAUAGUGGAAACUUGGAGCUAUUGAGCCUAAUGGUUAGAGCCGUUCGUUUCAAUCAAAUUGUCAAGAGUUCAAAUUUGAAUUCUCAUGCAUAGUUAUUAGCUUUAUGGUUGUCAAAUAUUUUAAAGCUACAUGGAAGUUCCAUAAUAAAAUUUGAUAGGUCAAGGGGUUUGGGUGUAUUAUGGAGAUUGAGAGGUUUAUAAUUGAUUGGUGAAUGUUGCUACUCAAGAAAAAACAAGAAAACUAUCGCAGAGCAGACCACUGAACGUAUAUUAAUCUCAAUCAAUUGAUAAUUGGUGGAUUUCUUUUUGACACUUUUGGCACUUUGACAGUCAUGCUCUUAGGACAUUAUCGUAUGUGACUUUUCAAUUGAUAGAGAAUUGAGAUUAAUGUUAAGAGGUUUCAUGCUAUGAAGUAUGUUCAGUCUUAAUAUCUUCACCUAAUAGUUACCUGGAACAAACUAAAACGUUGCCUUUAUUUUUUUUAUUAUUGUUCUUUAUCUAGUUUGUACUUUAUGUUGGGGUUGAAGCAUGGACAUAUUCAAGUUUAAUGCUGUUCUUUAUUUCACUUCUAUUAUCUUUUUAUUUACAAGUCAUGACUAAGUUAAUUUGAUUCCUUUAACGUGUUCUUUUCAUCUUACUCAUGCUUCAUACCAUAUUGUUCCUGGUUGACUCACUCUUGUGUUCUACAUGUUCAAUAAUUCUGCAGCGUUGUACCUUAUAGAUGGAAAUGGGUGCGGGGGGUUUUACUGAUAGCAAACCAGGCUUCCUAUUUGGAAAAUUGAAAAAAAAAAUGAAAUGAAAAGAAAAAGAAGUAAAGAAAAGAAAAGAAAAGAACAGACAAGAUAAGAUAAAAGAAAGAAAGAAAAACAUAGAGAGGUGGGGGAUCCUGCCUGAUCAAGGCUUGCUAUGUAAAUUGCUACCAACUUGCCUAGCAGCACAUCCUGGGCAGUUCAACCAAAAGAAAAAGAAAAAAGAAAAAGAGAGAAAAAAUGAAAAAAAAAAAAGAAAAAAAAAAGAAAAAAAAAAAGGAGAAGAACGAAGAAGAGAACUCCAGUAUUGAAGAUGAUGGUACCUAUUUUCUCUUAGUAUAUUAUAUUUUGCAUGAUGCAAACAUUUAUGAACAUGCGAAUCUUUGUUAUUCACACUUUAUCUGCUAUACUAUACCAGUUUGUGAAAUUUUCUUUAAAAAAGUGUGGAAAUGAAUAUUGCUUCGAUGUUAGGUGAUGUAAGUUAAAUACAAAAGGAACCUAAUUUAUAUAUAGGACAAAUGCAUAUUAGCUGCUAUUUCCGGCUUGAUACACGCAGCUGAUCUUGGUGAAGCAGCAUCGAUGAGGACGAAAUCCCUGCUCGUAACUUUCCAUUACUAUUUCAGGAAAACAUUGUCCCAGCUGAAGGAAUGCUUUAAUAUAAGAAGGGAUAUUUCUUGAUGUCUUUGGAUUGCAUGAUUUAGCAUAUUGAUAGAUGAUGAGUGCUAUCCUUUAUGCUAUAAGACUUUGUGUGGUUUCUCUGCAGGUCGUUUGAAGGGCCAGUUCUAAAUUUCUGCAUAUGGAAAAAUGUUAGGUACGCUGAAUUCUUUCCUUCCUCAUAAUGAUUAAAUGAAAUUCUCUUGAUAGUUUAACCCUUCCAAGGACUUGUUUGGAAUAACCUUUUAAGUGCUUAAAUACAUUCUUCCACCUAAAAAUUGUUAAGCACCUAAAAAGUUAUUGCAAAUAUAUCUUAAAUCUAUUUUAUUAGCUUUUUAUCAACGUUCUUACUGUAACUGCAACAUGUGUUACCUGUGGUGUACAUAAGUAGAUGUUCCUCACGCUCAACUUAUAAGACGAGUAGUUUAGCAGAACGGCUCUCUUUGUAAUAUUCUCCUUCUCUUAGGACUCGAAACUCUCUUACUUUUUCUAUGUGACAUAUUGUUUCUGUGACAGAUUGUGCAAUUUUAUUGCAUUUGUACCUCUGAACUCUGUACGAUGGAUGGAUACAUACAUACAUUUAUUAUUUAUAUAAAUAUAUAUAUAUAUAUAUAUAUAUAUAUAUAUAUAUAUAUAUAUAUAUUCAACUUUUUUGAAUGGAUGUCCGUUUAUGUAAACAGCAGCCUGUUGUAGGAAAACUGAUAUAUUGCUCAUUAUCUUUUCCUCCUUGUGAUGAGGAGAUUUUCGAAGAUCUAAGGUUUAAAAAUAUAAAUGCAUUCUCAUGAGCAAAUCUUUCUGUAAUGAAGGCGAAAAUUUUCUUUUCUGAACUGAAUUACCUGAAAAUGAAUAUGAAUGCGUAAUUUAUAUUUUCAGAAGAGUGAGUCUACAGAAAUGAAUAUGCUUAAAGUUGGAAUAUCAAGUAAUGACGAUGGAUUUCUUCACAGAAUAAUGACAUUUUAAAAGUUUUAUUAUAAUUCAAAUAUUGAAAUGAUUAUAGGAAGGAAAGGUUUUGAUGCUUCGAUUAGAUACAAAGAAGGUCUUAAUGCAGAGAGGCAGGGCCAAGGCCGAAGUUGGAGAACGAACUUGACAAGUGCAUCAUAUUCUAUCCAUCAAUUUCUUCAUAUUGUACAUAAACUUUCAUCUUUUAAAAAGCGUUGUUCUCAUCUUUUUAAAAAAGUGUUGUACUUUACUCUUUAUGUGAUAUGUUUUAGUUCGAAAAGUUGUUAGAAAAAGGUACUUAUAUGUACAGUUAGUGAAUUAUGAAUGUUAUGCAAUUGGUAGGCUUCAACAUUGUACCUAGAAAGAAGAAUUCUAAUGCGACAUUUGUGUAGCAAGUGAAUUAGCAGAAUUUUAGUAAAUUAGAUCAGAAGUUAAAUUUUUUUUUAAAAAAAAAACUUCAACAAGGUAGCUUUUUAAGUAAGUUAACAUCAACAUGAGUAUGCUCAGUUUUUUAAGAUUGAAGGCUAAAAUCUUCAUGCUGUACGUUUGUUCCUCUUUUUAGUAGUAGUCCGAUUCCAUGAUUGUAUUGUUUGAAAGUUGUGUACAAGACUUCAAGAAUAAGCCUAGUCUGAGAACAGAACUUCCAAAACCUCCAGUUUUGUUACAUUUCUUAAUUUUAACUGUCAUCUUCUGCUUGUAAGAAAGUUGCUCCUAUGUCUUAUAAUUUAUGUUUCAUCUUACAUUUUUCGUGCAAUACCAAACUUUUUCUGGAUUUAUUCUUGUAGAGAGUUUGAAGAUCUGUAUUUCGUUUGAGAGAGGGUGAGUUAGUCUAAAAUUUAGACGGUUGAAAAUGGAAAAUCAAAUCGCUUAUUUUGUACUCUCCAAAUAAUCUUAGAGGAACACCAACCCAAAAAAGUAGAACAAUAAAUAAUUUAAAAGGAAAAAAUUCCGAACUUAGAGAAGAAAAUUUGAAUAUUAGUGAAUAAAUUUUACAUAAUUAGACUAGUUUAGAUUGAAGCUGGAUUGGAAAUAACUCAAAGAACAUGAGAUUUUUUCUAUUUUAUUAUUUUUUUUUAAUAUAGGGAUGAACAUGAACUAAAUUGAAGAACAGAGGGAAUAUAUGAUCCUAAAAGUAGAUAUUAGCUAGAAAUUUAUUCUAUCGCUAUUAUAGCAGAAACCCUAGCGUAAUUUCCUGCCAUUUCCCCCCUCUUUUCUUAAGUAAUAAUUAAACUCUAAUUUCUUUCCCCCGAGUUCCCCGUAUCCUUUGUGUAAACGUUACAAUAAAAGAAAAAGAAGAAAAAAAAUAAUCUAAACGCCUUCUCGAUCUGCAGAUUGUAAUACUCGAACAGAUCCGAGUUGUUUUCUGCUUCAUCUUACAUGCAAUUUGCCAUAAGAAGUGACCCCAAGAAGACAAAUGAGAAAAACCCCGUCACCGGAAUCGCUGAGCUCGCUGUGUCUGAUGGUUCUGAUCCGUAACCGCCGAAGUCGUUCGGUGGGGUAUCGGUUGGCGGCGUAUCGGUUGGCAUCGUGUCGGUUGGUGUUGGGGUUGUUAUGGUUGGUGUUGCCGGUGGCAUUGGAGUUGGAUUCAUUGGUGGAUUGAUUGGUGUUGUUGUGCUGCGUUUGUAUAAAGAUGUGAGAUGGGAUUGUUUUCUUGUUAUACUGAUUUGGAUUCAUACAUAGGAAGGAAGUAUUUUGUCAUUUACCUCGGUGUUGACCUUGAUGCUCCGUAGUGGCAAUUUCCACUGCCUGCAAUCGUUAAGAAAAUAGUUGUUUAUAUUUCAUGUUGAGGAAUGGAUAUCUAGUUUAUCAGGAUGCUGGGAUGUUCAUAGUUUUAAAUGAAAUGAUAGAGGAAGCAUCAAUCAUGACCAAAUACCUACUAUUGUAUUUUUUCUGUUUCUCUUUUCAGUAUUUGAGAUGGAUUAUUUGCCUAUGUUUUUGUUAUGAUUCUGAAUUUUAAAUAAACUUGAAGUGAUGAUCUUUCUUACUGGGGUCCGUGGUGGUGAGCUGCGCCGUUCCCCCAAACACGCAGCUUGUAGGUGCUGGAUUCUUCUGGUAGUAGUCGUUAAAGGCAUAAGAAGCAUGGUCUCUCAUGGUGUUGGGCUCAAAGCAACUACCUCCCGAUUGAAUCGCCGAGCAAUCCGCGCCUCCAUAGCCACAAGCAUAAUCUAUAGCUACCUGCAAAGCGGUUGGGGAAGCAUUUGGGCUUGCUAUGCACCAACUUCCACCACCUGUGGUUGUCGGGGUUGUUGGGGUUGUCGGGGUUAUGGUUGGUCCGGUAGGGUUUGUUUGUGCUGGCGGAUUAACAAUCGGCGUCUGGGUCGGAGUUGUGCCACCUGGGGUGGUUGGAUUCACAAUGGGGAUUGUGUCCAGUUGAUUGCUAGAUGUUGAAGGUGAAAAGUAGGGUAUUUGUUCUUCUUGAUUUUGUAGAACAUAGUCAUCUUGGUUUGCUUCAAAGAACGGUCUCUGUGCAAUACUUGAACCUGAAGGCACAAAAAGCAAAGGUCAGUUCCUUCAUGUGAAAAGGUGAAACCUCUUCUUGUUGUGAUUUUCUUAUAAUACAGAGUAACAUACUAACAUCUUAUGUUUGGUUUUUCUUUUCUUUCUGAUAGGACAACCAAUAGAAGAAAUGCAGGAAGAUGAGCCAUAGACUAGCAGAAAUAACAGGUACAUGAUGCAUUUAUUAUUAGAAGAUUAGCUUAAUAUCAUCGUACAGAAAAAAAAUCAACUAAUGCUGAUUUACCUAGACUGAGGAAAACCAACAAUGAAAGUAAUGCAAAAUGGAGGUGAAUACAGGUACCCAUCUCUACAAAUUACUCCCAAUGUUUGGUUCUGGAUCUUCAAAUGAUUUUGAACAAUGAUAGAGACCAAAGAUUUGUGAAAAUCAGAGGUAUGUCAAAUGUGUUUGUGUAAAGAAGAAUUACCCUUUUUGGCGGCAAGCAAUAUAUACAAGUAGCUGGGCGACAGAAUCUAAGCUUUCUUGGAUCAUCAAGAGUCAGAAAGAAGGGUAAGAGAAUAUGAGGAAACUUGAGAGAGGAGGCAUUGUAUAUUUGAAUAGUUGGGAAGUGCAAGCAAGGGAAGUUUUAAAAAUUGGAAAAAGGUAUAUGGAGAAGGAAAGGCAAAAUAUAUCUGCUACGAACUCAAACCUGAUAGGUGUUAGAAUAAGGUAUGAGGAGAAGUACUGAUUCUGCAGUUUUCGUGUGGUGGCAUUUCCCCUCCUCUUUAGAGCUUCUCUUUUUACUGUUUUUAUGGGUACUGAAUCAGAAAGUUAAAGGUAGGUUUAGGCUAUGGUUUAUAGAUUUGUAUGCACAAGUUGCAUCUUCUAGUUUGUGAUCAAGAAUAUUGUCCCCUGGAGAAUCUGUUUAAGUCCCAAAGCUCACUGCUCUGCUACUUAGGAAGCAAAACAGGAAUCAAAUCAUUCUCUCUCUUAAUCCAUCGUCUGUAGAAGCAUUUGAUUCCCUCUUUCACAAACAAGCCCACUAAUCCACUCAACUGAUAGAUACUAAUUAUAUUACCAGUAGUGCAGCAAACAGAUGCCAAGAAGAUUCGGCUAUUGGCAUGAUCUCUAUUUCAAUCGGUCGGAAGUUCAAUUUGUCAUAUUUAGGUCUUUUUUAAUUUUAGUGUAUUUU